GGUUCUAUGGUGUAAUGGUUAGCACUCUGGACUCUGAAUCCAGUAGCCCAAGUUCAAAUCUCAGUAAAACCU
Molecule: non-coding RNA, 72 nt
Organism: Oryzias latipes (Japanese medaka)
Lineage: Eukaryota; Metazoa; Chordata; Actinopteri; Beloniformes; Adrianichthyidae
Source: Rfam